RNAcentral lists this ribosomal RNA (489 nucleotides) under uncultured Polaribacter sp. Its description in RNAcentral is "bacterial SSU rRNA". It matches the Rfam family "Bacterial small subunit ribosomal RNA", at positions 39 to 524 of the family's 1533-position model. Lineage: Bacteria; Pseudomonadati; Bacteroidota; Flavobacteriia; Flavobacteriales; Flavobacteriaceae. The record is from RNAcentral.
CAAUGGGGCGGGCUUACCAUGCAGUCGAGGGGUAACAUUGUGCUUGCACAGAUGACGACCGGCGCACGGGUGCGUAACGCGUAUAGAACCUACCUUUUACAGAGGAAUAGCCUUUAGAAAUGAAGAUUAAUGCCUCAUAGUAUUGAGUAAUCGCAUGAUUAUUUAAUUAAAGAUUUAUCGGUAAAAGAUGGCUAUGCGUCCUAUUAGUUAGUUGGUAAGGUAACGGCUUACCAAGACAUCGAUAGGUAGGGGUCCUGAGAGGGAGAUCCCCCACACUGGUACUGAGACACGGACCAGACUCCUACGGGAGGCAGCAGUGAGGAAUAUUGGACAAUGGAGGAGACUCUGGUCCAGCCAUGCCGCGUGUAGGAAGAAUGCCCUAUGGGUUGUAAACUACUUUUAUACAGGAAGAAACACUGGUAUGUAUACCAGCUUGACGGUACUGUAAGAAUAAGGACCGGCUAACUCCGUGCCAGCAGCCGCGGUAAC